RNAcentral lists this ribosomal RNA (253 nucleotides) under uncultured Eubacteriales bacterium. RNAcentral's name for it is "uncultured Clostridiales bacterium partial 16S ribosomal RNA". It matches the Rfam family "Bacterial small subunit ribosomal RNA", at positions 524 to 776 of the family's 1533-position model. The record is from RNAcentral. Lineage: Bacteria; Bacillati; Bacillota; Clostridia; Eubacteriales.
UACGUAGGGGGCAAGCGUUAUCCGGAUUUACUGGGUGUAAAGGGAGCGUAGACGGCCGUGCAAGCCAGGAGUGAAAGCCCGGGGCACAACCCCGGGACUGCUCUUGGAACUGUGCGGCUGGAGUGCGGGAGGGGCAGGCGGAAUUCCUGGUGUAGCGGUGAAAUGCAUAGAUAUCGCGCAGAACUCCGAUUGCGAAGGCAGCAUGCCGGCUCCACACUGACGCUGAGGCACGAAAGCGUGGGUAUCGAACAGG